This 253-nucleotide ribosomal RNA is filed under the name uncultured bacterium. RNAcentral's name for it is "partial 16S ribosomal RNA". It matches the Rfam family "Bacterial small subunit ribosomal RNA", at positions 524 to 776 of the family's 1533-position model. The record is from RNAcentral.
GACGGAGGUCUCAAGCGUUGUUCGGAUUCAUUGGGCGUAAAGGGUGCGUAGGUGGCGCCAUAAGUCAGGUGUGAAAUCUCGGGGCUCAACCUCGAAACUGCACUUGAUACUGUGGUGCUUGAGUACUGGAGAGGAGAUUGGAAUUUACGGUGUAGCAGUGAAAUGCGUAGAUAUCGUAAGGAAGACCAGUGGCGAAGGCGAUCACCUGGGGUUGUUCUGACGCUGAGGAGCGAAAGCUAGGGGAGCAAACGGG